CAGUCGCCACGGGAAUACAGAGGGUGCGAGCGUUAAUCGGAUUUACUGGGCGUAAAGCGUGCGUAGGCGGCUUCUUAAGUCGGAUGUGAAAUCCCUGAGCUUAACUUAGGAAUUGCAUUCGAUACUGGGAAGCUAGAGUAUGGGAGAGGAUGGUAGAAUUCCAGGUGUAGCGGUAAAAUGCGUAGAGAUCUGGAGGAAUACCGAUGGCGAAGGCAGCCAUCUGGCCUAAUACUGACGCUGAGGUACGAAAGCAUGGGGAGCAAACAGGAUUAGAUACCCCGGUAGUCCCUGUCUCUUAUAC
This 301-nucleotide ribosomal RNA is filed under the name uncultured bacterium. RNAcentral describes it as "partial 16S ribosomal RNA". It matches the Rfam family "Bacterial small subunit ribosomal RNA", at positions 509 to 807 of the family's 1533-position model. The record is from RNAcentral.